RNAcentral lists this long non-coding RNA (1319 nucleotides) under Pongo abelii (Sumatran orangutan). Its description in RNAcentral is "lincRNA". The record is from RNAcentral. Lineage: Eukaryota; Metazoa; Chordata; Mammalia; Primates; Hominidae.
GGGGGGGAGGGGGCGGAGGGGGGGAAUUACCAUUAGCAGUUGAAGUGGUAGGAAAUUUUUACAUAGGAGAGUAUGGUGAUCAUAUUUGCAUUUUAGAAAAUAAUGGAUAGCAGUUUGUUAGGGGAACAAAGGACAGAGACAGGGAGACUAUUUAAAACAUUAAUAAAAAAUGCCAGUGACAGAUGAUGAGGCAUCUACCUGAUGGGAACGGAGAAGAGGAGAUGGAUUCAGAAACUACUUAUGAGGUACAGUCAUCAAGAUCUAGAUGACGAAUUGCAUGUAGGGGGUAAAAAAGUAGGAAGAAGAGAGGAUGAUGACUUCUGCGUUUCUGGCUUGGGAAAGUGGUUAGACUGUGGGCUGGAUGUGUGUGUGAUUGUGUGUGUGUAGCUGAAAAGGCAAUUUAGCUUUGUAACUGUUGAAGUGAAUAUGGACCAUAGACAUAGAUAUCUACUAGGUAGCUGAAUAUGUAGUCUGCAAAUCAGGAGAAAAUUCUAGGUGAAGAUGGCAAUUUAGAAUCAUCAGAGUCUAUAUGAGGCAGGCGGUCCAAGGCUGAUGCCCAAAGAAGCCAUCAAGACCCGUGCUACUUCCAGCUCCUUCUGUCCUCAUAAUCAUAGAUGAUUGCUCCACAUCCAGCACCUAACACCAGUACUCAGUUAAAUUUUUUGCUGAAUAAAUCAAUGAAUGGAGAGGUAAAGAGGAACCAGAAGUUGGGGUUACGGAAGUCACUGAUGGAAGAGUUUCAAGAUAGUAGAAGUGGUCAGCCCUGUUAAGUGACAAGCCAAGGACUGAAGAAAGGCUGGCAGAUUUGGCAAUCAGAUGAAGUGACCUGACCAAAGAGCAGCUUGUGUGAAGUAGUGAGGACAGGCGCUGGUCUGCAACGGGUUUAGGAGGAAAUGGAAAUGAGGAAGAAGAGAUAGGAAAGUGGAGAUUAUACAAUGGCAAGUAUCAAGAUGAAAAUGAACACAUUUGGCCUGCUACCUGAAUUUUUUAAAUCGGCUCACCAAAAAAUAUCAGGCUUAUUGAAAUAUUGGCAUAUCUGAUGAAGUUUCCUCUUAUCUUUGAGCUGUUUGGGUUUGGGUAAAACUUCAAUGCUUAAAAUUCACGUCUACAACUAGCAGGCAGAACCUUAAAGUCCAGAACAAUUAAAGGGUUUAAUAAUGGUGAGGCAUAUGAUGAUGCCGAUGAUGAUAAUGUUUCUUUCUUUCUUUUGUGAUCUUAAUCAUUGUGUGAUCUUAACUAGUUUGAAAUGAGAAUUUCAAUGGAGACAGUAGUGUAAAUUUACCAACAGAACAAUUACAGUCAAGACAAAACAAAAACUA